AGAGCGAACGCUGGCGGCAGGCCUAACACAUGCAAGUCGAACGGACCCUUCGGGGUUAGUGGCGGACGGGUGAGUAACACGUGGGAACGUGCCUUUUGGUUCGGAAUAGCUCCUGGAAACGGGUGGUAAUGCCGAAUGUGCCCUUCGGGGGAAAGAUUUAUCGCCAUUAGAGCGGCCCGCGUCUGAUUAGCUAGUUGGUGAGGUAAAGGCUCACCAAGGCUACGAUCAGUAGCUGGUCUGAGAGGAUGACCAGCCACAUUGGGACUGAGACACGGCCCAAACUCCUACGGGAGGCAGCAGUGGGGAAUCUUGCGCAAUGGGCGAAAGCCUAGACGCAGCCAGUGCCGCGUGAAUGAUGAAGGUCUUAGGAUUACGUAAAAAUUCUUUACACCGGGGACGAGUAAUAGGACGGUAACCCGGAGAAGAACGGCCCCGACUAACUCGUGCCAGCAGCCGAC
RNAcentral lists this ribosomal RNA (458 nucleotides) under uncultured soil bacterium. RNAcentral describes it as "bacterial SSU rRNA". It matches the Rfam family "Bacterial small subunit ribosomal RNA", at positions 26 to 518 of the family's 1533-position model. The record is from RNAcentral.